CUGAGCCAGUGAUGUGCUGUUAUCCCUGUCUGACAGCUCAGCUGUGAGGAAGAAAUAACUGUAUACUGAGGCUUAA
Small nucleolar RNA from Apteryx haastii (Great spotted kiwi), 76 nucleotides. The record is from Ensembl. Lineage: Eukaryota; Metazoa; Chordata; Aves; Apterygiformes; Apterygidae.